Molecule: ribosomal RNA, 747 nt
Filed under: Escherichia coli
Lineage: Bacteria; Pseudomonadati; Pseudomonadota; Gammaproteobacteria; Enterobacterales; Enterobacteriaceae
Description: partial 23S ribosomal RNA
Rfam family: Bacterial large subunit ribosomal RNA
Source: RNAcentral
ACCCUUUAAUGUUUGAUGUUCUAACGUUGACCCGUAAUCCGGGUUGCGGACAGUGUCUGGUGGGUAGUUUGACUGGGGCGGUCUCCUCCUAAAGAGUAACGGAGGAGCACGAAGGUUGGCUAAUCCUGGUCGGACAUCAGGAGGUUAGUGCAAUGGCAUAAGCCAGCUUGACUGCGAGCGUGACGGCGCGAGCAGGUGCGAAAGCAGGUCAUAGUGAUCCGGUGGUUCUGAAUGGAAGGGCCAUCGCUCAACGGAUAAAAGGUACUCCGGGGAUAACAGGCUGAUACCGCCCAAGAGUUCAUAUCGACGGCGGUGUUUGGCACCUCGAUGUCGGCUCAUCACAUCCUGGGGCUGAAGUAGGUCCCAAGGGUAUGGCUGUUCGCCAUUUAAAGUGGUACGCGAGCUGGGUUUAGAACGUCGUGAGACAGUUCGGUCCCUAUCUGCCGUGGGCGCUGGAGAACUGAGGGGGGCUGCUCCUAGUACGAGAGGACCGGAGUGGACGCAUCACUGGUGUUCGGGUUGUCAUGCCAAUGGCACUGCCCGGUAGCUAAAUGCGGAAGAGAUAAGUGCUGAAAGCAUCUAAGCACGAAACUUGCCCCGAGAUGAGUUCUCCCUGACUCCUUGAGAGUCCUGAAGGAACGUUGAAGACGACGACGUUGAUAGGCCGGGUGUGUAAGCGCAGCGAUGCGUUGAGCUAACCGGUACUAAUGAACCGUGAGGCUUAACCUUACAACGCCGAAGGUGUUU